Molecule: non-coding RNA, 514 nt
Organism: Meleagris gallopavo (turkey)
Lineage: Eukaryota; Metazoa; Chordata; Aves; Galliformes; Phasianidae
Source: RefSeq, a predicted model, not a curated record
CCUGUGUAUCUGAGGACCUUACUGGCCUUCCAAAGGAAGAUAUGGGACCUGGAGCUGGGUCCUUGUCAAUGUGUCUGGAGGGCUGUCUGCUGCUGGAGAUAUGUUGUCAGCUGGGAGCAGGGAAGAAACUUCCUUCAAGCACGAGGAAAAACCAUCUGGCAGCAGUUCUUUUUUGAUGCAGAAGCCAUCUGGAUAGAGCAGCAGAUCAGAACUUCAACAUUUCUCAUGGUGGUAUCUUCAAACUAGCUCUAAAAUGACUCUGGGGGGGAAAAGAAUCGAAGGUAAAGAGUUAAGGCUUUCUGAUUUUGCCUUUGUGUUAGAGAUGGUUUUGGAGCUUCAGAUGUGUGUAAUGGAUUGUGAAGGUACUGCGCAAAAGGAAAUUCCUUCUGGGGACUCCAAGAUAAGCAUCUUUCCUCUGUUCUUACACUCUGGGACACCUCCAGUGUUUGACUUAGCUCUAGCUUAAAAUGAACUAAACUGUUGAAUUUCAUUAUGUUUUAUUGUCAACCUAAAU